This 279-nucleotide long non-coding RNA is filed under the name Sitophilus oryzae (rice weevil). RNAcentral describes it as "uncharacterized LOC115881051". The record is from RNAcentral. Lineage: Eukaryota; Metazoa; Arthropoda; Insecta; Coleoptera; Curculionidae.
UAUUUCAUCUUGGAGGUAGGGCCCCAUAGAUAUUAUAUCUGCGAUAUUAUAUUUUAAUAUUAACAGAAGUGGCCAUGGCCAGAAUGACAAUGUCAAAGUUUGUUUGAAUUAUUUCGCAUAGUAAAAUUACUGUCAUUAGUUCAUAAAGUUUCGAAUUUUGUUGUUACGAAUAGAAGGUGAGUUUAAAAAGUAGUGUUGUGUUAUUGUGUACCAUAAGGUACCAUGUCAAUAGAAAAAUCUCUCUUGUUUUCUGCUUGGUGUGAAGGCAAUUCUUUGAAG